GAUACCCUAUUAUUUUAAAUGUUAAUUUUAAACUGAAAUUAUUAAUAGCUAAGGUCUUCAAAGUUAAAGAUUUUGGCGGUAUUUUAGUCUUUUCAGAGGAACCUGUCUCUUAAUCGAUAAUCCACGAUUAUUUUUACUUUGUUUAAUUAAUUUACAUAUCGUCGUUAAAUAAAUAUUUUAUUAGAAUUUGAAUGUUUAAGGAUUUUGAUUAUAAAGUAGUUCAGAUCAAGGGGUAGUUUAUAGCAAAGAUGAGGGGGGUUACAUUAUAUUUAUAUAUGGAUUCUUUUUUUUAGAAGAAGGAUGAAAUUGGAUUUGAAAGUAAUAUUUGAAAUUUAUAUAAAAUGAUUAAGCUCUAAAAUAUGCACACAUCGCC
RNAcentral lists this ribosomal RNA (373 nucleotides) under Tentyrina palmeri. Its description in RNAcentral is "partial 12S ribosomal RNA". Lineage: Eukaryota; Metazoa; Arthropoda; Insecta; Coleoptera; Tenebrionidae. The record is from RNAcentral.